RNAcentral lists this small RNA (77 nucleotides) under Xanthomonas populi. Its description in RNAcentral is "sX9 sRNA". It matches the Rfam family "Xanthomonas sRNA sX9". Lineage: Bacteria; Pseudomonadati; Pseudomonadota; Gammaproteobacteria; Lysobacterales; Lysobacteraceae. The record is from RNAcentral.
AUGUACCACUCGUACACUCCGGUUCUGAGCGCGCCGUCCGCGCCCACCUGACGACUGCUCGCUACGUUUUGUUAGCC